CAAGGAAGGCAGCAGGCGCGCAAAUUACCCACUCCCGGCACGGGGAGGUAGUGACGAAAAAUAACGAUACGGGACUCAUCCGAGGCCCCGUAAUCGGAAUGAGAACACUUUAAAUCCUUUAACGAGGAUCAAUUGGAGGGCAAGUCUGGUGCCAGCAGCCGCGGUAAUUCCAGCUCCAAUAGCGUAUAUUAAAGUUGUUGCGGUUAAAAAGCUCGUAGUCGAAUCUGUGUCUUGCGCCGUCGGUUCAUCGCUCGCGGUGUCAACUGGCGCGUCGCAGGACGUCCUGCCGGACGGACUUAGCCACGGCGUCGUCCUCCUCUCGCGUCUCGCGCACAUUUCGUCCCGUCUAGCACGCCUUGCUCGCGUCGUUUCCUUGCGGAACGCGCGGGUAUUGCGCGUGUGGCGGGGUCAAACGGUGUGUGUCGUCCGAGCACGAGUGCGUCGACGUUCGGGGCGGUCCACCUAAUUGAAACAAUCCCACCGCGGUGCUCUUCGUUGAGUGUCGAGGUGGGCCGGCACUUUUACUUUGAACAAAUUAGAGUGCUCAAAGCAGGCUAAAAACUCUGCCUGAAUACUGCGUGCAUGGAAUAAUGGAACAGGACCUCGGUUCUAUUUUGUUGGUUUUCGGAACUCCGAGGUAAUGAUCAAUAGAGACGGAUGGGGGCAUUCGUAUUGCGACGUUAGAGGUGAAAUUCUUGGAUCGUCGCAAGACGGACUUAAGCGAAAGCAUUUGCCAAAAACGCUUUCAUUGAUCAAGAACGAAAGUUAGAGGUUCGAAGGCGAUCAGAUACCGCCCUAGUUCUAACCAUAAACGAUGCCAGCUAGCGAUCCGUCGACGUUCCUCCGAUGACACGACGGGCAGCUUCCGGAAACCAAAGCUUUUGGGUUCCGGGGAGU
This 897-nucleotide ribosomal RNA is filed under the name Baconia brunnea. RNAcentral describes it as "bacterial SSU rRNA". It matches the Rfam family "Eukaryotic small subunit ribosomal RNA", at positions 417 to 1124 of the family's 1831-position model. The record is from RNAcentral. Lineage: Eukaryota; Metazoa; Arthropoda; Insecta; Coleoptera; Histeridae.